Jaculus jaculus (lesser Egyptian jerboa) is the source of this 509-nucleotide long non-coding RNA. RefSeq lists it as uncharacterized. The transcript has 3 exons. The record is from RefSeq and is a predicted model, not a curated record. Lineage: Eukaryota; Metazoa; Chordata; Mammalia; Rodentia; Dipodidae.
CAGGGCCCUCCCCGCAGGAACACGCAUUGUUACCCGGGUCUGCCGCGCAGAGCUCCUUGAGGUCCGACCCAGUGCCCUGGGUGGAGCCCGGCUGACAGAAAUAGCUCCUUUCCUGCUAAGGAUACUGGCUGAAAUAUCCUGCACUGCUACCCUGGAGAGUGAGUACAACAGACUGCACUGACUGAGGUUUAUCUACUGAUCUCACUGUGAGCACCAGGCUGUGCUACCACAAGUGGCAACCCAUAAAGACUGCACCACAAGACUCCAGCUUCCUGAGUCUGCCGCAGGUUCUUGUUGAAGUGGCACUUCAUCACUGCCUGGGGGACAUCUGAACAUCAUUCCUUAUAACAGUAUGCUUUCACAACAGAGACUCCUUCCACUGACUACAUGGAAAACCCACAGAGUGCAAUUAUAAACAUGCAAAGAAAAAAGUACCAGUGGGGGCUGGAGAGAUGGCUUAGCAGUUAAGCGCUUGCCUGUGAAGCCUAAAGACGCCGGUUUGAGGCUCG